UGGGGAAUUUUGGACAAUGGGGGCAACCCUGAUCCAGCCAUGCCGCGUGAGUGAAGAAGGCCUUCGGGUUGUAAAGCUCUUUCGGCCGGGACGAAAUCGCUAUCUCUAAUAAAGGUAGUGGAUGACGGUACCGGAAUAAGAAGCACCGGCUAACUACGUGCCAGCAGCCGCGGUAAUACGUAGGGUGCGAGCGUUAAUCGGAAUUACUGGGCGUAAAGCGUGCGCAGGCGGUUUUGUAAGCCAGAUGUGAAAUCCCCGGGCUUAACCUGGGAACUGCAUUUGGGACUGCAAGGCUAGAGUGUGUCAGAGGGAGGUGGAAUUCCACGUGUAGCAGUGAAAUGCGUAGAUAUGUGGAGGAACAUCGAUGGCGAAGGCAGCCUCCUGGGAUAACACUGACGCUCAUGCACGAAAGCGUGGGGAGCAAACAGG
RNAcentral lists this ribosomal RNA (429 nucleotides) under uncultured bacterium. RNAcentral's name for it is "bacterial SSU rRNA". It matches the Rfam family "Bacterial small subunit ribosomal RNA", at positions 355 to 776 of the family's 1533-position model. The record is from RNAcentral.